GAAAAUUUAGUUAAACCCCAUAACAUUAGUUUGUCAAGCUAAAAUUAUACGAUUGUAUAUUUUUCG
This 66-nucleotide transfer RNA is filed under the name Cryptolestes pusillus. RNAcentral's name for it is "tRNA-Asp". Lineage: Eukaryota; Metazoa; Arthropoda; Insecta; Coleoptera; Laemophloeidae. The record is from RNAcentral.